UAACUGUAGGUGGUAGAAUUGUGGGC
Molecule: non-coding RNA, 26 nt
Filed under: Rattus norvegicus (Norway rat)
Lineage: Eukaryota; Metazoa; Chordata; Mammalia; Rodentia; Muridae
Source: RNAcentral